This 1156-nucleotide ribosomal RNA is filed under the name uncultured organism. RNAcentral describes it as "bacterial SSU rRNA". It matches the Rfam family "Bacterial small subunit ribosomal RNA", at positions 30 to 1208 of the family's 1533-position model. The record is from RNAcentral.
UGAACGCUAGCGGCGCGCUUAACGCAUGCAAGUCGAGCGAUGAGUCUCCCUUCGGGGAGUACAUCAGCGGCAGACGGGUGAGUAACACGUAGAUAACCUGCCCUCAAGACGGGGACAACCGGUGGAAACAGCGGCUAAUACCCGAUAUGCUCACAGGAUCGGGAGGUCGAGUGAGGAAAGCGCCCCUUCGGGGGAGAGUGUUUGAGGAGGGAUCUGCGGCCCAUCAGCUAGUUGGUGAGGUAACGGCUCACCAAGGCGAAGACGGGUAGGGGGUGUGAGAGCAUGGCCCCCCACAAUGGGACUGAGACACGGCCCAUACUCCUACGGGAGGCAGCAGCGGGGAAUAUUGCGCAAUGGACGGAAGUCAGACGCAGCGACGCCGCGUGGGUGAGGAAGGCCUUCGGGUUGUAAAGCCCUUUUCAGGGGAGCGAGAAAGGACGGUACCCUUGGAAUAAGCGUCGGCUAACUACGUGCCAGCAGCCGCGGUAAGACGUAGGACGCAAGCGUUAUCCGGAUUUACUGGGCGUAAAGCGCCUGUAGGCGGUCAAGUAAGUCGGAUGUGAAAGCCCCGUGCUCAACGCGGGGAAGCCAUUCGAUACUGCGUGACUAGAGAACGGCAGAGGGAAACGGAAUUUCUGGUGUAGCGGUAAAAUGCGCAGAGAUCAGAAAGAACACCGAUGGCGAAGGCAGUUUCCUAGGCCGCAUCUGACGCUGAGAGGCGAAAGCUAGGGGAGCAAACAGGAUUAGAGACCCUGGUAGUCCUAGCUGUAAACGAUGGAUGCUAGGUGUGGGCCGGAAAGGUCCGUGCCGUAGUUAACGCGAUAAGCAUCCCGCCUGGGGAGUACGGCCGCAAGGCUAAAACUCAAACGAAUUGACGGGGACCCGCACAAGCAGCGGAGCGUGUGGUUUAAUUCGAUGCUACACGCAGAACCUUACCUGGGCUUGACAUGUAGGUGGUAGUGAAGUGAAAGCGGAGCGACCCUUCGGGGAGCCUACACAGGUGCUGCAUGGCUGUCGUCAGCUCGUGCCGUGAGGUGUCGGGUUAAGUCCCGUAACGAGCGCAACCCUUGUCCUUAGUUACAAGUGUCUAAGGAGACUGCCGGUGACAAACCGGAGGAAGGUGGGGAUGACGUCAAGUCAGCAUGGCCCUUAUGUC